Molecule: long non-coding RNA, 1511 nt
Filed under: Dromaius novaehollandiae (emu)
Lineage: Eukaryota; Metazoa; Chordata; Aves; Casuariiformes; Dromaiidae
Description: lncRNA (ENSDNVG00000017089.1)
Source: RNAcentral
AUUGGAGGUGAUUGCUGGAGACGUGGGGAUUUCCAUGGCUGUGGCUGUUGUGAUCUGGGCCCUCUUUGUUUGGCGACAUGUGUGGAGUCCUGGUCACAAUCUCCUCUUGUUGGAUGAAAUACAUCAGGAUGAAGAGUCUUAAUUGUGAGGUGAUACCCCACUGAGUGUCAGAGUAGGUGGGGUGUGCAUGAUGCUCUUUAGUUUGGGUCAUUUGAAGUGAUAGAUGCAGGAGGAUGGUAGAUUUGUUCUUGCUGAAAUCUGAGAACCUGCCUGUAUCGGUGAAUGUCACCCAGUGCUCAGCAAAUGCAUUCAGAUGAAAUCAUUGAGAUCUUGGGUUUCAGGCCUAAGUGAUCACUACAGGUACUACUAGUUCCUGCCUGUGGAAUAAACAUUUGCUGAAUGCAAUUCAACAUAAUAACACUUUGUGCAGCAAGCAAUCACUCAUCACCCUCUGCCUCUUCUCACUGUUGUGACAAUCCCAACUCUAUCCAGACCACAAAUAUGUUAACCUCUCCUAGAAGUGUUUUACUAAUAAACUGCUUAACUUCACUUUCUUUGACCAGAAGUCAGGGUGCAUUACUUUCCUAUUAAAUGUAUUUGAUUUUACUGGGCUGUUUUUUCUGUCUGUUCUCUGGAGAUAGUGAAGGGUGCUAACGGGAGAUGCAGGAUGUAGUCUUUCCACUAACAAGUCAUGCAGGUAGUGCUUGGUGAUGCCAGUGACCUGCAAAAUGGCCUUGGACAGGUCACUUUUUUUGUUUUCUCCCCUUCCCUAUUGCUCCAGCUCAUCUGUUGAACACUGUCAGUAAUUUGGGGCAAGAYCUGUACAACGUAUACCCUUUAUAAAGAGCUGCAGGCUCUAAUGAAAUGAGUCUUUUAGUGGUUGAUCAAUUUGCAGAAGGUAUUGCUGUUAUCUGUACUUUUUCUUCACAGAAAGCAUCAAUUGCAGAGCAAGGACUGGAGCCAAAUCUCUUGACUCCUGGCCCAGUAUCCCAUCUGGAAUGGGACCUUGUUCUAGAGUUGGAGCUCCAUGACACUAUUAUGUAUUUGUGCAACAGGACUAUUYACGAUAACCUUUGGCUGUGAAGACCCAGGAAAGUGCUCGCUGCAGGAGUCAUCCAGCUGAAAYCCCAGAGUUCGGCUUGCUUCCCUCUGAGUUUUGAAGACUGUGACUUUAAUUAGGAGGUGCCUUUGAUGGGAUCCACUAACACCUUUCCUCCUGGAGGACAGAAGUCAGACUUGUGGCUAGCAGGAGAUGGACUGUGAAAGCCAAGAGACUCCAACUAUAGCCUAGCUGAAGGUUUUGCAUUGGAAAACCAUAAAGAAGGGGACAGUGUCAUCCUGAAUUUAAAACUGUUUGCAAUGUUGACAGUACAGCAAUGACAAAGGACUGUUUUGCAGGGACAAGCUAGUCCAGCCACAGUUCCCGUUGUAGGAAUUGCCUUCUUCUGGUGAACUUUCAUUCAACAGUAAAGCACAACAGUUUCAGAUAAUAAAACAAAAACAAACAAACA